Molecule: ribosomal RNA, 856 nt
Filed under: uncultured Bacteroidota bacterium
Lineage: Bacteria; Pseudomonadati; Bacteroidota
Description: bacterial SSU rRNA
Rfam family: Bacterial small subunit ribosomal RNA
Source: RNAcentral
UGGAUCCAGACUUUGAUUUGGCUCAGGAUGAACGCUAGCUACAGGCUUAACACAUGCAAGUCGAGGGGAAACGAUAGAGAAAGCUUGCUUUUUCUAGGCGUCGACCGGCGCACGGGUGAGUAACGCGUAUCCAACCUGCCCACCACUUGGGGAUAACCUUGCGAAAGUAAGACUAAUACCCAAUGAUAUCUCUAGAAGACAUCUGAAGGAGAUUAAAGAUUUAUCGGUGAUGGAUGGGGAUGCGUCUGAUUAGCUUGUUGGCGGGGUAACGGCCCACCAAGGCAACGAUCAGUAGGGGUUCUGAGAGGAAGGUCCCCCACAUUGGAACUGAGACACGGUCCAAACUCCUACGGGAGGCAGCAGUGAGGAAUAUUGGUCAAUGGACGAGAGUCUGAACCAGCCAAGUAGCGUGCAGGAUGACGGCCCUAUGGGUUGUAAACUGCUUUUAUAAGGGAAUAAAGUGAGUCUCGUGAGGCUUUUUGCAUGUACCUUAUGAAUAAGGACCGGCUAAUUCCGUGCCAGCAGCCGCGGUAAUACGGAAGGUCCGGGCGUUAUCCGGAUUUAUUGGGUUUAAAGGGAGCGUAGGCCGGAGAUUAAGCGUGUUGUGAAAUGUAGAUGCUCAACAUCUGCACUGCAGCGCGAACUGGUUUCCUUGAGUACGCACAAAGUGGGCGGAAUUCGUGGUGUAGCGGUGAAAUGCUUAGAUAUCACGAAGAACUCCGAUUGCGAAGGCAGCUCACUGGAGCGCAACUGACGCUGAAGCUCGAAAGUGCGGGUAUCGAACAGGAUUAGAUACCCUGGUAGUCCGCACGGUAAACGAUGGAUGCCCGCUGUUGGUCUGAAUAGGUCAAGCGGC